CCUACGGGCGGCAGCAGUGGGGGAUAUUGCACAAUGGGGGGAACCCUGAUGCAGCGACGCCGCGUGAGCGAUGGAGUACUUCGGUAUGUAAAGCUCUGUCAGCAGGGAAGAAAAUGACGGUACCUGACCAAGAAGCCCCGGCUAAAUACGUGCCAGCAGCCGCGGUAAUACGUAUGGGGCAAGCGUUAUCCGGAUUUACUGGGUGUAAAGGGAGCGUAGGCGGCAGGGCAAGCCUGGUGUGAAAGCCCGGGGCUCAACCCCGGGACUGCAUUGGAAACUGCCCUGCUGGAGGGCCGGAGGGGUAGGCGGAAUUCUUAGGGUAGCGGUGAAAUGCGUAGAUAUUAGGAGGAACACCAGUGGCGAAGGCGGCUUGCUGGACGGUAACUGACGUUGAGGCUCGAAAGCGUGGGGAGCAAACAGGAUUAGAUACCCGAGUAGUC
Molecule: ribosomal RNA, 440 nt
Filed under: uncultured bacterium
Lineage: Bacteria
Description: partial 16S ribosomal RNA
Rfam family: Bacterial small subunit ribosomal RNA
Source: RNAcentral